GAUUUUGUAUUAACAUCUCUAUACAUCCCUCUCUCCAUCCAUUACCUCUUUUCUCUUUUUCCAUAUCUAAAUUCUGCCCCUCUUUGGCAAAGUGACUCCUCCUUGCUCUGUCUGUGGACUUCAGAGAAGCACGCAGCAGGAUAAUUAACUGCAGAUAAUAACUGUGAUUUCAUUCCAAAGCAGUGGCCUCACUGGCAGGCGCAUUGCAAUAGCCAUGGGAUCAGCUAUUCAGCUGUAGCAAGAGCCAGGAAUUACCCCAGUGCGAGCAAGGCCAGCAAAGCAUUAUUUAAAUUAUGCAGUGAUACAGUGUCAAAGAAAGGAGCAGGGAGAAGUUCGGCAUGUUCUUGAUGAUGUGACCACUAGCAUGGAUUCGUGCUGGCUUGUAUAAACUCCCCUAGCACAUCACAGAAUUUAUUUGAAACAGCACAAUCCAGUUCCUGCUCUGUCCGUCCCCCACUGCCAGCUGAGGGAAGAGCCCUGAGCAGCUCCCUGCAGUUAAUCCCUGGACAACUCCUUGGAACAAGCCAGUGAAUAUUGUGAAAUGCUGCUUGGAAUUGCUCAUGGGUUGUGGAUGUUUGAGCCAGGCCUGCCCAGAGCUGAGCUGACUCACGUAAGGAUUCUCUGGAGGGUCUGAGCUUUGCUCAGAGCCAGCACACCCUGCUGACCCUGGGGGUCUGACAGCCAGCAAACUGCAGCUUUGGCUCACUCAUCUUCACAGGGGUGUUACCACACUGCUGCCUUUCUCACUUCUUGUUCUCCAGUCCACAUUUUGUGUGUUAUGGACACAAAAACAGAGAUAUGUAAAACCCCAGGGGUUUGCAAGCUUGUGAGAAAUUGUUUGGUGUCACAAGCUGUCCUGGGGACAUUGGUAGCACCUUCUCUGUUCGGGCUGGAAGGGCUUGUCCUUGUGUCUGAAGCCAGAGAGGGAGGGGUGAAAAGCUGUGUUCUGUCUGCAAGCUGCCAGCUCAUCCCCUCUGCUCAGUAAAAUGCAUCUGUCCGAAAUUCAGUCUAAACUUGAGAUAAAGAAGCCACACUUUCCUUCCUGGGGACUCUUGCUGUGUUUAUUUUCCUGGCAAGUGGCGUAUGCAGGGUGAUUUUUCAGAUGAUUUUCAGUUCUUCCUGGGUGAGGUGUGGGAUCCAGGGUGUCACAGCCCAGGCUGUCACAGCCCAGGCUGUCACAUACUGCAGCGGGUGGCUCAGGCUGAUUUAUGGGUAUUCCAUUAUCUCCCUUUAGGGAUGCAGCUGCCAAGCCUGCACAGGGCUGCUCAGCUGGGAAGCUCACAAACUUGGUGCCAUCUUUCUCCAUCCAGUCUUUACUCACUGAAAUAAGCUUUCAUAAGAGAAAGGGCUUUUGUCCUUUUUGCCUGUCCUGGAAACACCUUCAGGGUUCCAGGCUAUGGAGCUUUUCCCAGGCUGCUGGAGCAUCAGGACCUGGUGAUUUCACAUUCCUGUAUUCUGACACGGUGAAUUCAGUUCUACCUAUUUCCUUUGCUUUGUCUUUUCUUUUUCAGGCCCAAAAGUGGUGUUCCUCAUCCUCAGUUUGUUAUUCUGUGAAGCACUCCUGGCAAAUUAGUAACAGUUAGGGCCAGUCACACUUAAAUCCGAGGUAGCUCAUCUGUGCAAUAGUGCUUGCCAUUAAAAAUUAUGCUAUUUUUAGUCUACACUGUUAAUUAUUCACAAGCUCCCGUUUGAGAACCUCUUGGGGAUGGAGAAAGUUCAGCCUCAGGCCGUGGAGGCAGAAGAGAAGGUGAAAGGAAAACACAGAAUGGAAGAAAGGAGAUGGCAAAGAAGGUUGAGGAGGAAAAGUGCUCGCAAUGAAGUGAAAGAUCCUGUCGCGGUCAGGGAGGAACUGAGAAGCAGAGAACACAAAGGAAAACCCGUGGUUUGCUCUUAAGAAAAGCUUUCUCCACGUUUUGCAAUGCACCCACGCGUGCGGGAAUAUUUUUGACCCUGAUGGCAGAUCUGGCACAGUUCCACCCCAGUGACCAUCAGGAGUGGGAUCAAACCUGUGCCUUACAGAGGAACACUCCCAGAAGGGAUGGGAGCUUUCUGGACCAAAGCACAUAAAUAGAAAUUGAAAAGUGUCACUCGGCAUGUUUGAGCCACUGCUUCUCUCCAGAACAGGAGUGAAAUAUUUUUGACCCUGAUGGCAGAUUGGGCACAGUUUCCCCCCAGUGACACCCUGUCCAUCAGGAGUGGGAUCAAACCUGUGCCUUACAGAGGAACACUUCCAGAAGGGAUGGGAGCUUUCUGGACCAAAGCACAUAAAUAGAAAUUGAAAAGUGUCACUCGGCAUGUUUGAGCCACUGCUGGAGUGUUUGACAAAUGCUGGUGAAAAUGAGAAACUGGGAUGGGAGGAAUGGAGAGAAAACAACCAAAGGAUGAAACACAGCCUUCAGGAAGUCAGAAGGAAAAAAGGUUAAUAGAUAAAUAAUUUGAGUAGAAAACACAAAAUAGAGGAAAGCAGAAGAUGUGAGAAGGGAAAAAAAAAAUCCAUAUUCUCUGGCAAGAAGCUAAGUGUCACCUCCAAGAGGCAGGUCAGGUGUAAUACCAGAGAGGCCCAGAUCUCCUGGGUACAGUGUAGGUGAUGUUCAAGAAAUUCACUGAAUCUGAAAGGGAAUGCACCAGAAAGGAAGGAAAUGCUGCAGCGCUUCUGCCUUUGAAGGGGACUUUCUUGGAGGUGGGGGUGUUAACUGAUGGUAUCUGUGACACAGGAUCAGCACCUUCCCUCCCAGCAAGGACAAAGUGAGAGCUGAGAGCUCCCUGAGGUUUUCCUGCAGGCCUGGCCAGGUCAUUUCCUACGUAUGCCUCGACCUUCUCAUCUGCCUCCUCAUCCUCUAGCUCAGGCAAAAAGCAGAAGUGCCAGAAUGCCUCCAAGGAAGUGAUUCAAGGGGCGUUUUUGGCUGGAUUGAAAACAUCCGUGGCUGGAAAUUUCACAAGGGGGACUCUUCCCACAUAGAUAAAUUUCCCACUCACACUUUAUGGCUUGGCUGUUCAGGCUCUAAACCUCUGCUGGGAGGGAAUAGAGACAUGGCAGGGACUUCCCUGUGCCAAGUGACUCCUACCACUAGUGCACUUUGACAGCCACAAUGGGAAAGUUUUAGUGAGGAAAAGCCUUUGGCAUUCACAGCAAAACCUGACAACACUCUGUGCAUGCCUUAGGCUGCAGUUCCUUAUUUUAGUUCACAUGGAACUUAAGGAAGUGCAUAAAAAACCCUUGCUAAAGUGUCCUUAAAAACCCGCCAGCAGCAGGUUGUCAAGAGCUGCUGGAGAAAUGGUGCCACCACUGGGAGCUGCCAGGAGCUGGGAAAGGUUUGUUCAGCAGUACCCAGCUGGCUGUCACAGGCUGUCCUGUCUGCCUGGGGGGGCAGAACCUGCUGGGGUCUGGCACAAAAAUUAACAGUACAGCUGGGGGGCUUUGGGACAGCACUGGGAGGACGGGGCUCCAGCCUGGGUACUGGAGUUUGGGGGAACACUGUGGGAAAUUCCAACGCUGCCAUUCAACCCCUGUGUCUGAAAUCUGGAAUACUGCAGAAAUCUUGAUUGCUUUUACAUUUGCUUUGGGAAAAACACUGCCAGAAGCAGGAAGAAGCACUGUUUGUUUGUUUAGUACAUUCUGAAGGGAAGAAAUAGCCUGUCCUUUCCUACCUCAGCCAGGAGUUCCCAGGAUGCUUCUCUCAGAUCUAAUCAUACACCCUGAUUUCUUUGUGGCAUUUUGGGACAUGUUUUUCAUAACCAUAUCAGUCAGCUGGAGCAUUCCUGCCCCUACAUGAGUGAUUAUUGUUUGGAUUUUGGCAGAACAUGGAGAUCCCUGUGAAGACUGAGGCUGGAUUGCCUUCAGUGGAGUUGAUUACACUGAGGGGUCAAAGCCAGACCCCUGGAAAAGGGGGACAUGAUCACAAGGGCCCAGUGGGGUCGGUCCUGCCUCAGCAGGGAGACCAGCCCUGGGUUUAGUCCUGGAUUAAUAAACCUUCCUGGGGAAGGGCUCUGAGCCCUUGGGUGCUUUGUGUUCAUCUCUGUGCCUUUGGUGUUGGUGUUUCUGUUCUCUGCCUUUGCACUCCCUGUGACAGAGCCUUAUUCUUCAAACAAUUAAUUGGGGCUUUUUCCUUCAGUGAGAUGUUUGCAAUGGAUUUUUGUCUUUUUAUAAAA
This is a long non-coding RNA of Passer domesticus (house sparrow), 4149 nucleotides long. RefSeq lists it as uncharacterized. The transcript has 3 exons. The record is from RefSeq and is a predicted model, not a curated record. NCBI's taxonomy places the organism in Eukaryota, Metazoa, Chordata, Aves, Passeriformes, Passeridae.